UACGUAGGGUGCAAGCGUUGUCCGGAAUUAUUGGGCGUAAAGAGCUCGUAGGCGGUCUGUCGCGUCGGCUGUGAAAUCCCGAGGCUCAACCUCGGGUCUGCAGUCGAUACGGGCAAACUGGAGUACUGCAGGGGAGACUGGAAUUCCUGGUGUAGCGGUGAAAUGCGCAGAUAUCAGGAGGAACACCGGUGGCGAAGGCGGGUCUCUGGGCAGUAACUGACGCUGGAGGAGCGAAAGCGUGGGGAGCGAACAGG
RNAcentral lists this ribosomal RNA (254 nucleotides) under uncultured bacterium. RNAcentral describes it as "partial 16S ribosomal RNA". It matches the Rfam family "Bacterial small subunit ribosomal RNA", at positions 524 to 776 of the family's 1533-position model. The record is from RNAcentral.